AGAUUCACAGUCGCUGAAUAAGUAACGUCUUAAGUGGUCUUAAGCAUCAGCUUAAGCAUUUGCUUAGAAAAGUAAAUGCUUAUCGGUGUAGAUUCACAGUCGAUGCUUAAGAAAGUCUUAAGCUCUUAUGAAUUCGUAAUCGAAUAAGUCCGCCUUAUUUGUAGAAAACGAGUUCUUAUUUGGCUUCAUUGAGGUUAUGUUUUUAAGUCAACGAUAUUGAGGACUUAAGCACGCGUUUGACGGGGUUAUUGUGUAGUGAUGGGACGGGAGAGAGUAGGUUAGGGUACACGAAUACGGUAAAAGAGAUUAAAAUUACCGAUCCCUCCUGCGAUGCAGCUGUUAAUUUGUUUGCGGUAUUAUGCUACUGCAAGUUUUCAACUUAUUCUGGGAGACACGAUGAAUGUUUCUCAGCCCACAGUCUCCCGUAUAGUAUUUAGGGUGAGUUCACUAAUAGGCAGUCUGAUGAUAGACUAUAUCAAGUUUCCCAGGGAUCCGGACAAUUCCACUGCAGAUUAAUUCAAUAAUUAAAAUUGCAGAUUAUUCAAUAAUCUGGGAUAGGGAAACGGAGCUAUUGGUUUACCAGGUGUGGAUGGCGCUAUUGAUUGCACCCACAUUAGAUUAACAGCAUCCAGGUUCAACAACAUGGAAGAAAUGUACAGAAAUAGAAAAGGAUAUUUUUCAUUGAAUGUUCAGGUACAAUGAAAUCCAAAUCAGAACCCGACAGAUAGCAGAAAGAACGUUCGAUGUUUGGAAGCGCCGUUUUCCAUGUCUUACAAGGGGUUUAACAACGAAGUUCUUAUGUUCCACAACAACGGUAGUUGCAUGUGCUGUGUCCUAAUUUUCAAUGACAUUCUUGUAGAAGAAGAUGAAAUUGAAAACCAAAAUGAAGAUGGAGAAGAAUUAUUAGGAAACGUGGAAAAUGUUAAUGGCAUUGAUGGAUUUGCUACACGUGAAGCACUCAUUGCUUGUACGUUUCAUUGCGUAAUUGUGUCAAAUGAAAUGUAAUAAGGGGUUUUUUAUGCCUAUCGAGCCAAUAAAUAAUCAUUAUUCUUUCGGCUCAAA
Osmia lignaria (orchard mason bee) is the source of this 1062-nucleotide long non-coding RNA. RefSeq lists it as uncharacterized. The record is from RefSeq and is a predicted model, not a curated record. Lineage: Eukaryota; Metazoa; Arthropoda; Insecta; Hymenoptera; Megachilidae.